RNAcentral lists this unclassified non-coding RNA (164 nucleotides) under soil metagenome. RNAcentral describes it as "partial internal transcribed spacer 1". The record is from RNAcentral.
CCGAGUUUACAAACUCCCAAGCCCUUUGUGAACCUUACCGUAUCGUUGCUUCGGCGGGACCGCCCCGGCGCCCUCGGGCCCGGAACCAGGCGCCCGCCGGAGGCCCCAAACCCUCAUGUCUUUAGUGGUUUUCUCCUCUGAGUGACACAUAAACAAAUAAAUAA